RNAcentral lists this long non-coding RNA (239 nucleotides) under Capsella rubella. RNAcentral describes it as "long non-coding RNA (CRUB_LNC003536)". Lineage: Eukaryota; Viridiplantae; Streptophyta; Magnoliopsida; Brassicales; Brassicaceae. The record is from RNAcentral.
UUCAAUGUUAAUAUAUUAUCGGUUUACCUCUUAAGAACCUUCGAUGGACAAAAGAUUUCUGAUAAAAAAAGAUCUCUUCCAUGCAUAAGCUUUUGGAACUCUUUUAGUUCUAUGAUACACAUGCAGCUCAAAAUCUAAAACUUGAUGAAUGAUGACCUUAAAACUUUGCACAAAAAAAAAAAAAGAAGAUGACCAUAAAACAACAUAUAUGUCGUGGCUCUUGGGUAAAAUGAAUUAGG